UGCAAGUUGAGCGCUGAAGGUUGGUACUUGUACCGACUGGAUGAGCAGCGCACUGAUGAGUAACGCGUGGGGAAUCUGCCUUUGAGCGGGGGCCUAUAUUUGGAAACGAAUGCUAAUACCGCAUAAAAACUUUAAACACAAGUUUUAAGUUUGAAAGAUGCAAUUGCAUCACUCAAAGAUGAUCCCGCGUUGUAUUAGCUAGUUGGGGAGGGAAAAGCUCACCAAGGCGAUGAUACAUAGCCGACCUGAGAGGGUGAUCGGCCACAUUGGGACUGAGACACGACCCAAACUCCUACGGGAGGCAGCAGUAGGGAAUCUUCGGCAAUGGACGAAAGUCUGACCGAGCAACGCCGCGUGAGUGAAGAAGGUUUUCGGAUCGUAAAACUCUGUUGGUAGAGAAGAACGUUGGUGAGAGUGGAAAGCUCAUCAAGUGACGGUAACUACCCAGAAAGGGACGGCUAACUACGUGCCAGCAGCCGCGGUAAUACGUAGGUCCCGAGCGUUGUCCGGAUUUAUUGGGCGUAAAGCGAGCGCAGGUGGUUUAUUAAGUCUGGUGUAAAAGGCAGUGGCUCAACCAUUGUAUGCAUUGGAAACUGGUAGACUUGAGUGCAGGAGA
This 616-nucleotide ribosomal RNA is filed under the name uncultured bacterium. Its description in RNAcentral is "bacterial SSU rRNA". It matches the Rfam family "Bacterial small subunit ribosomal RNA", at positions 56 to 655 of the family's 1533-position model. The record is from RNAcentral.